CGCUCUUUGCAAAGAAUCUAAUGUAUAAGGAGUCCUGCCUGCCCGGUGAACAUAGUUUUAACGGCCGCGGUAUAUUGACCGUGCAAAGGUAGCAUAAUCAUUUGCCUUUUAAUUGGGGGCUGGUAUGAAUGGCAAGACGGGAAUUUGACUGUCUCUCUCUUGAAUCUUGAAGUUAAUAUUUCUGUGAAGAAGCGGGAAUACAGUCGUAGGACGAGAAGACCCUGUCGAGCUUAAGCAGACAAAGUGUAAUUACUAAUACUGUUUAUGUUGCUAAGUAGUUGUUAAUAAUAAAGGUUAAUUUUACUUUAAAGGAUGGUGGUAAUUGUGUGCUUGAUGCUUGGGUUGGGGCAACCGCGGAGAAGAAGAAUCCUCCGCUUAGAAAUACCUUGAAGGGAUACCUUUUGGGAUAUAUAAUAAUGUGAUAAGUGAUCCUCAGAAAUUGAGAACAGAAGAAUAAGUUACCGCAGGGAUAACAGCGUAAUUUUCUUGGAGAGUUCAUAUUGAUAAGAGAGUUUGCGACCUCGAUGUUGGAUCAAGACUACCAGGAGGUGUAGCAGCUUCUAAGGGUUGGUCUGUUCGACCAUUAAAGUCUUACG
Molecule: ribosomal RNA, 596 nt
Filed under: Anseropoda placenta
Lineage: Eukaryota; Metazoa; Echinodermata; Asteroidea; Valvatida; Asterinidae
Description: partial 16S ribosomal RNA
Rfam family: Bacterial large subunit ribosomal RNA
Source: RNAcentral